This is a long non-coding RNA of Herpailurus yagouaroundi (jaguarundi), 1563 nucleotides long. RefSeq lists it as uncharacterized. The record is from RefSeq and is a predicted model, not a curated record. NCBI's taxonomy places the organism in Eukaryota, Metazoa, Chordata, Mammalia, Carnivora, Felidae. The transcript is spliced from 3 exons.
CAGAGUUCAGGGGAAUUAAAACAGGGGCAGAAGAGACUUCGCAAAUUACUGGAUACUGAAAAUGCAAUCUACUAUCUCUCCUUCACAUUGUGGGUUAUUCGGGGUCCUUUGCGUGGCUGUGGCAAAUGACUGAAUCCUUGCUUCCAAGUCUGCCAGUGGGAGAAAUAAAAAGCCAGGGAGAAAAGAGAAAAUGUCUUUUGCUAGACUAGGUCACUUGUUACCUGCGAACAACACCGUGACCAUGUCCUGAUAAGUGGUGAGGCUAAAAGUUAGGCAUUUUCAUCUUCUCGUCAGAUUUUAAUUUGCAUAAAUUCUGCCAUCCCCUUUAUUAAAAAGAACGGAGAGUGGAUAGUAUCUGGCUGCGUGAGGACCCUCUGACUGGGCGAGCAGCCCCCCAUGACGCUUCCAAAUGCCGGUUCCUCUGCCAAACAUGCCCCAGUAGUUUCACUCCUCCUGACCAAAGUGGAUAAUGCAGGUGUAAGGGCAGAGGGAGAAGCGGUGCUCUUAAAAAUAGAUCUGACUUAGUAGUCUUUAAAUAACCGAGGAUUGUGAUAUGAGAGAGGGCUACUUACUUUGAAUCUGUAUCUCUACAGAGAGCAGAAUCUGACAAAAUGGCCUCAACUGACUUGCGUAAAGCGAUUUGGCCUCGCUGAGUAAGAACUUCUACAAGAGAGGGGAACCGAGGCUUGGCAAGGUGAAGUACUUAUCUCACGUCACAUAGCUGGCCUGGCUAAAUGACCUUAUUUGGCGAAUGGGACAAUUGCAAAAUUGACACAGCAGAGGCUCUUGCUGGUGGGAUCUCUUUACCACCAUGUGAACAAGCCUGGCCCCUUCUCAUUGAGGAUGAGCAGCACCACAUGGAAAGAGGCUCCAGCCACAUCCUUGGUCCAGCAUUCCACUUGAGGCCCCAGACGUAGGAGUGUGGCUGUCCCAGACAUCUAGCCUCAACCAAACUAGCCCAGCCCAGAAGAACCACUCAACCAACCCACAGAAUCAUGAACUAGAUUAAAUGUUUGUUAUUUUAAAUCACUAAGUUUUGGAGUAAUUUGUUAUGAAAAGCUCAUUAAUACAUUAUCCGUACAUCUUACAUCUUACAUACUCCUAUCAACCAACCAACAAAGCAUUUGUUAGGCACUCGGGGUACAAUAAUAAGUAAAAACUUAAUGGUUAUAAUCUACUUGGGGAGAUGUCUUACCUGUGAAAAAGUAAGUAACACUGCAGUUCAAAGUGAUAAAUGCUAAGUGAGUUCUAAUAGUGCUGUGGCAUAAGGAGGAAGAAGCGAUCUCUAAGGCAGAGAAAAUUUCUAUAGGAGCCUGAACUUCAACUUGAUCAUAAAGAGCACCGAUUUAAUCUUAGGUAGCUGGAGACAAACAGGGGUGGGAUCUCCAAGUCAGAAGAAGAUUGCAAACAACAUGUUCAGGAAACUGGUGAGCAGUCUGGUUUGGCCAGAGCAUAAAGAAAAUCAGUAAGAGAUAAAGUUGGAAUGGGGGAGGCCAGGCUACCAAGAGCUGGAAACCUGGGGUUAGAGUCGAUAGAUUUAGCAAAUAAAAAUACAGGGAGCUU